UGCCUAAACUCUACAACAAUGUAGGGUAUGGCAAAAAUCCUUGUCAGAAGUAAGCUCUUCAUGAGAAUCUGACAAGGUCUUGCAGGGAAACUUGCAUGGGGGCGCAAGCCUC
Molecule: small RNA, 112 nt
Filed under: unclassified sequences
Description: LOOT RNA
Rfam family: LOOT RNA
About the family: Latescibacteria, OD1/Parcubacteria, OP11, TM7. Lineage (Microgenomates, aka OP11)
Source: Rfam by way of RNAcentral